UACGUAGGGGGCUAGCGUUGUCCGGAAUCAUUGGGCGUAAAGCGCGUGUAGGCGGUCCGGUAAGUCCGCUGUGAAAGUCGGGGGCUCAACCCUCGGAUGCCGGUGGAUACUGUCGGGCUUGAGUGCGGCAGAGGAGACUGGAAUUCCUGGUGUAGCAGUGAAAUGCGUAGAUAUCAGGAGGAAUACCGAUGGCGAAGGCAGGUCUCUGGGCUGACACUGACGCUCAUGCACGAAAGCGUGGGGAGCAAACAGG
This 253-nucleotide ribosomal RNA is filed under the name uncultured bacterium. RNAcentral describes it as "partial 16S ribosomal RNA". It matches the Rfam family "Bacterial small subunit ribosomal RNA", at positions 524 to 776 of the family's 1533-position model. The record is from RNAcentral.